Carcharodon carcharias (great white shark) is the source of this 161-nucleotide small nucleolar RNA. The record is from RefSeq and is a predicted model, not a curated record. NCBI's taxonomy places the organism in Eukaryota, Metazoa, Chordata, Chondrichthyes, Lamniformes, Lamnidae.
ACUGCACGUUAUUAAAACCUGGGGGUUAGGGCUGAUACCUUGGCCAGUGAUCUCUCAGGUGUCGGAAAUGUGCUACAUUAAUGCUGGCAGGUUUUUCGCUAACACCACAAGGGUCGGUAUGACUCGAUGAGUGGGGUUUGAUAGUAAUCCUUGUCACAAUU